UGGUUGAGUCCAGUGUGCCAGUGAAGCAAGGGCACGCAUGCAUGUUUUCAUCAGACUGUGGUGACGAUAUGGCGAGAUUCUUACAAACAAACUUUAGAAAUGUAUUCGCCAGGCAGUUAAGGAUGUCAUCCGAUCAGGUAGGGGGAACGUUUGGAAAGAAGCAAGCAACGAAGGAGGAGAUGUACUUUAAGCGUAAAGAGAAGGAACAGCUAGCUUCUCUGAAGCAGCACCACCAGGAAGAGAUAGACCAUCACAAGAAGGAGAUAGACCGGCUGCAGCAAGAGAUCAAACGCCACGAAGGGAAAAUCAAAGAACUGAAAGGCUGAAUGUGGUUAUACAAAAAUGUUGGGAGCUCCUUGUGCCUGGACUCUUGCUUGUGAUGCAUGAUGUUCCCUACCUGAUUGUAACUUCAAUGUACAUAUGGAUUAUUAAAAUGAUUGGUUGAGCUAAA
Long non-coding RNA from Clupea harengus (Atlantic herring), 451 nucleotides. RefSeq lists it as uncharacterized. The record is from RefSeq and is a predicted model, not a curated record. NCBI's taxonomy places the organism in Eukaryota, Metazoa, Chordata, Actinopteri, Clupeiformes, Clupeidae.